CAGCAGCCACGGUAAUACGGAGGGGGCUAGCGUUGUUCGGAACUACUGGGCGUAAAGCGCACGUAGGCGGCUUGGUAAGUUAGAGGUGAAAGCCCGGAGCUCAACUCCGGAAUUGCCUUUAAGACUGCCGAGCUAGUAGGUGAGAGAGGUAAGUGGAAUUCCGAGUGUAGAGGUGAAAUUCGUAGAUAUUCGGAAGAACACCAGUGGCGAAGGCGGCUCACUGGACUGGUAUUGACGCUGAGGUGCGAAAGCGUGGGGAGCAAACAGGAUUAGAGACCCCGGUAGUCCCUGUCUCUUAUAA
RNAcentral lists this ribosomal RNA (301 nucleotides) under uncultured bacterium. Its description in RNAcentral is "partial 16S ribosomal RNA". It matches the Rfam family "Bacterial small subunit ribosomal RNA", at positions 509 to 809 of the family's 1533-position model. The record is from RNAcentral.